RNAcentral lists this unclassified non-coding RNA (284 nucleotides) under plant metagenome. RNAcentral describes it as "partial contains small subunit ribosomal RNA, internal transcribed spacer 1, and 5.8S ribosomal RNA". The stretch from base 1 to 53 matches the Rfam family "Eukaryotic small subunit ribosomal RNA", at positions 1778 to 1831 of the family's 1831-position model. The record is from RNAcentral.
GGAAGUAAAAGCCGUAACAAGGUUUCCGUAGGUGAACCUGCGGAGGAUCAUUAUUGUAUAGCCGAGGUGCGAGGGCUGUCGCUGACCCGAAAGGUCGUGCACGCCCGAGUGCCCUCACACACAUCCAUCUCACCCCUAUGUGCACCACCGCGUGGGUCCCCCUUUGGCUUGUUCGGAGGGGGGCUUACGUUUUCACACAAACUUUGUAUGCAGUGUAGAAUGUAUUUUUUGUUUUUGCGAUCACGCAAUCAAUACAACUUUCAACAACGGAUCUCUUGGCUCUC